RNAcentral lists this ribosomal RNA (493 nucleotides) under uncultured bacterium. RNAcentral's name for it is "bacterial SSU rRNA". It matches the Rfam family "Bacterial small subunit ribosomal RNA", at positions 28 to 475 of the family's 1533-position model. The record is from RNAcentral.
GAUGAACGCUGGCGGCGUGCCUAAUACAUGCAAGUCGAACGCAUUGUGGUUGAAAUGAUAUGAAGAACUUGUUCAGAUUUGAUUUUCAACAUUGCAAUGAGUGGCGAACAGGUGAGUAACACGUGGGAAACCUACCUCUUAGCAGGGGAUAACAUUUGGAAACAAAUGCUAAUACCGUAUAAUAAUUAAAACCGCAUGGUUUUAGUUUAAAAGAUGGUCUUGCUAUCACUAAGAGAUGGUCCCGCGGUGUAUUAGUUAGUUGGUGAGGUAAUGGCUCACCAAGACAAUGAUACAUAGCCGAGUUGAGAGACUGACCGGCCACAAUGGGACUGAGACACGGCCCAUACUCCUACGGGAGGCAGCAGUAGGGAAUCUUCCACAAUGGACGAAAGUCUGAUGGAGCAACGCCGACGUGUGUGAUGAAGGGUUUCGGCUCGUAAACACUGUUGUAAGAGAAGAAUGACAUUGAGAGUAACUGUUCAAUGUGUGACGG